GGCCUACACCACAGCCACAGCAAUGUGGGAUCCGAGCCACGUCUGUGACAUACACCACAGCUCGUGGCAACGAGGGAUCCUUAACCCACUAAGCAAGGCCAGGGAUUGAACCCGCAACCUCAUGGUUCCUAGUCGGAUUCGUUAACCACUGUGCCACGAUGGGAACUCCCAGAAAUGUGUUAAUUUUUUAAAAUUGAUUUAUUAUUUUUUUUAAUGGUCACACCUGCAGCAUAUGCAAGGUCCCCGGUCAAGGCCUGAAUCUGAGGCGCAGCUGUAACACCAGAUCUUUUAACCUACUGCGCCAGGCUGGGGACUGAACCCGACCUGAGCCUCUAGUCAAAUUCUUAGCCCACUGCACCACCACAGCAGGAACUCCCAAGAAAAGUAUUAAUUUUAACGAAGCAUUUUCCAAAUUUACUUGAUCACAGAAUCUCCUUUUUUCCAACUGUCAUGUGUCAGGAAUAAACGAUGCUUUACCUGAUAUUUGGAAAUUCCCUAACUCAGAAAUCCUCCCCCAUUGGACGGAUUACAGCAAUAUCUCAAAAUAAUUAUCCUUUCAUCUCUCAAUGCUGGAUUGAGGUUGGGGAGUUGAAAGCAUCUAUUCCAGGGCUUCCUAAAAGGAGGGACAAAGCAGUAUGGGACUUGGUGGCAUGCCCCGUGGUCUACACAGGUGGCCAGCAUAACAAACGGUAUCAGGUACCCACUGCUCUAUAUUUCCAUGAGGGUGAUCCACCUCCGGGGCUCCUAUUUCAGAAGACAGAACUCAAACGCACCACUGCUCACCAUGGACAAGAAACCAACCCAUGGAGCUACCAGAGUAGUUUGUCCCACAUGCCCAAGGAACAUGGUAUGCAACAGUGUGUGACCAGUUGGGAUUGAAGGGGCCCGUGACUCUAAGAAAGAGCCCCCAAUCCUUAUCUGCAUAUAUACUGACUUGGCCAAUUCUAUCCCUUUGCAGCUGAUGUGCCCUUUUAGUAGCAGCCAAGUUGCUACAAGGCUCUAACACAUACAUGUUAUAUAAAUUAAAUCUUCACCAUUAUUUCAAAAAAAAUUUUUUGGCCUUUUUAGGGCUGCACUCACGGCAUAUAGAGGUUCCCAAGCUAGGGGUCCAACCGGAGCUAUAGCUGCAGCUGCUGGCCUAUACCACAGUCAUAGCAAUGCCAGGUCCAAGCUGUGUCUGCGACCUACACCACAGUUCAUGGCAACGCCAGAUCCUUAACCCACUAAGUGAGGCCAGGGAUAGAACCCGAAUCUCCAUGGAUACUAGUCGGGUUCGUUAAUGGCUGAGCCACGAUGGGAACUCCUUCACCAUUAUUUUUAAGUAACUAAUACAAGAAAAUUCAGCUGGCUUAAAAAACCAUUUGCAUUAUAUCACAAAAUUUUCUAAAUUAUAUCUGUCAAUUAAAGGAUGAGUUUUUGACAGAAAGAGACUCAUAACCGCUAGAGAACAAACCAGUGGUUACCACUGGGGAGAGGGGAGGCAGGAAGGGUAAGACAGGGGUAUGGGAUUAAGAGACACAAACUACUAGGUACAAAAUAAACAAGCAACAGAGUUUUAUUAGACAGCACAGGGAAAUGUGCCAUUAUUUUGUAAUAACUUUAUGGUUGUAUUUUUUUUUUUUUAGGGCCGAAGGUGCAGCAUAUGGAAGUUCCCAGGCUAGAGAUCAAAUCAGAGCUGUAGCCGCUGGCCUUCACCACAGCCACAGUAACACCAGAUCAGAGCUGAAUCUUCGACCUACACAACUCACAGCAACACUGGAUCCUUUAACCCACUGAGCAAGGCCAGGAUCGAACCCGCAUCCUCAUGGAUACCAGUCGGGUUCAUUACCGCUGAGGCACAAUGGGAACUCUUGGGAUAACUUUAAAUGGAGUAUACCCUGUAAACACUGAAUCACUCUGCUGUAUACCUGAAACUAAUAUAAUACUGUAAAUCCACUACAGUUGAGUAAAAAGGGAUGAGUUUUUGAAAUUAUAAUUUCAACUGUUUUAAAUUUUUUAGUGGUUGAGAAAACCACUUUUAUGUUUUUACACAAAGUUUCUCAUUAGUAAUAAACUAUCAAAAAUUGAGGAGCUCAAGAGUUCCUGUCGUGGCGCAGUGGUUACCGAAUCCGACUAGGAACCAUGAGUCACUAUGGGAACUCCAAAAAUGUCAUUUCUUAACACUUUCUCAUACAGAUUCUCCACGUUGGAAAUUCCCCUUUUUUUUGCUUUUUUUCUUUUUGCUUUUUAGGGCCUCACCCGAGGCAUAUCGAGGUUCCCAGGCUAGUGGUGGAAUCAGAGCUACAGCUGUCGGCCUACACCGCAGCCACAGCAACAACCAGAUUUGAGGCGCAUCUGUGACCUACACCACAGCUCAUGGCAACACUGGAUCCUUAAUCCACUGAGCCAGGCCAGGGAUUGAUUCCACAUCCUCAUGGAUGCUAGUCAGGUUCAUUAACCGCUGAGCCACGAUCGGAACUUCAGAAGCCUGUAUUCUGAAAACUACAAGAUGCCAAUGAAAGAAAUCAAAGAUGAUACAAACAGAUGGAAAGAUAUACCAUGUUCUUGGAUUGGUAGGAUCAAUACUGUCAAAAUGAGUAUACUACCAAAGGCAAUUUACAGAUUCGAUGAAAUCUCUAUCAAAUUACCA
Molecule: long non-coding RNA, 2629 nt
Filed under: Sus scrofa (pig)
Lineage: Eukaryota; Metazoa; Chordata; Mammalia; Artiodactyla; Suidae
Description: lncRNA (ENSSSCG00040031798.1)
Source: RNAcentral